This 416-nucleotide ribosomal RNA is filed under the name Coleodactylus meridionalis. RNAcentral describes it as "partial 16S ribosomal RNA". It matches the Rfam family "Bacterial large subunit ribosomal RNA", at positions 1958 to 2620 of the family's 2925-position model. The record is from RNAcentral. Lineage: Eukaryota; Metazoa; Chordata; Lepidosauria; Squamata; Sphaerodactylidae.
AGCGUAAUAACUUGUCUUCUAAAUAAAGACUAGUAUGAACGGCUAAAUGAGGACAUAACUGUCUCCUGAGGAAAAUCAAUGAACCUGAUCUUUCAGUACAAAAGCUGAAAUAAAACCAUAAGACGAGAAGACCCUGCGGAGCUUUAAAAAACCACUUUUUAAGUUGGGGCGACUACGGAAACAAAAAAAACUUCCACGACCAGGACUAACCCCCCAAAAAAGGAAUCACACACCAACCCUGCUGAUCAACGAACCAAGUUACCCCAGGGAUAACAGCGCCAUCCUCUUCCAGAGCCCAUAUCGCCAAGAGGGUUUACGACCUCGAUGUUGGAUCAGGACCCCCUAGUGGCGCAGCCGCUACUAAAGGUUCGUUUGUUCAACGAUUAAAGUCCUACGUGAUCUGAGUUCAGACCGGA